UGUUGGUUCUCCCGCAACGCUACUCUGUUUACCAGUCAGGUCCGGAAGGAAGCAGCCAGAGCAGACGACGUGUGUGCCGGGAUGUAGCUGGCAGGG
Molecule: signal recognition particle RNA, 96 nt
Filed under: Klebsiella pneumoniae
Lineage: Bacteria; Pseudomonadati; Pseudomonadota; Gammaproteobacteria; Enterobacterales; Enterobacteriaceae
Description: signal recognition particle sRNA small type
Rfam family: Bacterial small signal recognition particle RNA
About the family: The signal recognition particle (SRP) is a universally conserved ribonucleoprotein involved in the co-translational targeting of proteins to membranes.
Source: RNAcentral